GCGGGUAUACCUCAGCAGUAGAGUGUGUACUUAACACGCACAACGUCCUGGGUUCAAUCCCCAGUACCUCCA
Camelus ferus (Wild Bactrian camel) is the source of this 72-nucleotide transfer RNA. It matches the Rfam family "tRNA". Rfam says of the family: Transfer RNA (tRNA) molecules are approximately 80 nucleotides in length. Their secondary structure includes four short double-helical elements and three loops (D, anti-codon, and T loops). The record is from Rfam. Lineage: Eukaryota; Metazoa; Chordata; Mammalia; Artiodactyla; Camelidae.